Molecule: ribosomal RNA, 115 nt
Filed under: Danio rerio (zebrafish)
Lineage: Eukaryota; Metazoa; Chordata; Actinopteri; Cypriniformes; Danionidae
Source: RNAcentral
GCCGGCAGCUAGCUCUCUGCAACUCUCACAUGGUCGCCCACUAAAGCUAAGCAGGGCUGCGCCCUGUCAAUACCUGGAUGGGAGACCACAUGGGAAAGCUAGGUUGCUGCCGGAA